ACUCUUUCCCUGUUGCACUACUGUGGCAGUGAAUAAAGCAGUGCAAUGAUGAAAGGGCAU
Molecule: microRNA precursor, 60 nt
Filed under: Xenopus tropicalis (tropical clawed frog)
Lineage: Eukaryota; Metazoa; Chordata; Amphibia; Anura; Pipidae
Description: Xtr-Mir-130-P4a_pre stem-loop
Source: RNAcentral